GUGGGUUCGUGUCGACACUCUACAGCCUGAUAAUGAAGAAGUUCCCAAUGCUAAUUCCGCUAACCUGCCGAUCUGCUGAUGUAAAUCCGAAGACCUAAUGCCUCGCACAACGGCUAGCACCAUUUUACCCUCAUUUCUGGAUUGGGAUGAUAUUUUCCCGGCAGCUAGUGAAUGUUUUGAUUGUGGCAUCUUGGAUCGAGUUUUGGAGAAAUUUUAGUGAAACGUGCUUGGCUCGGAAGGUCAAGAACACGUCGUUAGGCCGUCCGGCUUCAGAUUUGGGACUCGAAUUCGAUGAUUUAGAAUCGAAGCAGAAGCAAGCCAUUGAUUUGCUGAUGAAGGAGACGAAGGGGGAAACUAAGAUUAGGGAAGUUGCAUAAUAAUUAUGUCAAUUAAGAGAUGUUGAUUAUUGAUAUAUCAAUCUACGCGUUUAAUGUUUUGAAGAACUUUCGAGUGGAAAAAAAUGAUAUAUUAUCAAUCUGAAUUUAGAAUUUUUAACGUAGACUGGUGCUUUUUUUCAACUUUGUUCUUGUCCGCCGUUCAGUCCACUUUCAUUAUUGUAUUUCCACUUUCAUUAUAAUAUUUUUCCUUUGCA
This is a long non-coding RNA of Prosopis cineraria, 592 nucleotides long. RefSeq lists it as uncharacterized. The record is from RefSeq and is a predicted model, not a curated record. The transcript has 2 exons. Lineage: Eukaryota; Viridiplantae; Streptophyta; Magnoliopsida; Fabales; Fabaceae.